Molecule: long non-coding RNA, 229 nt
Filed under: Physcomitrium patens
Lineage: Eukaryota; Viridiplantae; Streptophyta; Bryopsida; Funariales; Funariaceae
Description: long non-coding RNA (PPAT_LNC004066)
Source: RNAcentral
AAAGUUGGAAACUGUCCCAAGAAGUAAAAUCGAUGUAUUGUCAAGACUAGAGGCACGUUUAUUCAGGAAAAUGAGGAUGCCCAGCUACAAUAGGAACCAUGCGGCUGGACAGUGAAAUAUCGCAACAACAACAAGAUUCUUUUCUUUCCGCUCAACCUGCCCUUUGUUUUACAAUCUCUUUAUUUAUUGGCCCUCAGAAAUUGAGAACCUUAGCAUUAUUAGAUUUAAG